AACAAAUUAAUCUUUUACUUUUUACUUAUAAUAUUUAACUCUUCGUCUUAUUAAAAAAAUUACAAUUAAUAUUUUUGUUUUUUAUUAGAGGAUAAAUCAUGAAUAAUACUUUAAGUCUGACUAUUUUUUUAAAAAAUUUUUAAAAAAAAUUUAAAUAAGACGGAUGAUCAAACGCUGGACACGGAAACCAAAGGAUUGGUUUAUU
This 205-nucleotide microRNA precursor is filed under the name Oryza brachyantha (malo sina). Its description in RNAcentral is "MIR812 microRNA precursor family". It matches the Rfam family "MIR812 microRNA precursor family". The record is from Rfam by way of RNAcentral. Lineage: Eukaryota; Viridiplantae; Streptophyta; Magnoliopsida; Poales; Poaceae.